Molecule: long non-coding RNA, 1379 nt
Organism: Xenopus laevis (African clawed frog)
Lineage: Eukaryota; Metazoa; Chordata; Amphibia; Anura; Pipidae
Exons: 2
Source: RefSeq, a predicted model, not a curated record
GGAAUUUCACUCUAGUGGCGGAACUUCACUCUUUUUUUCCCCUAGAAGUCAUGGAAUUGAUGAUGGGGCCUGAUGUUUGUCGUGCCAUGGGGACGAUGGUAGGGUAUAAGAACACCAUCAGUGCCAGAAGGUCCAGAAAUGGCUGGAACCUGUGAAAUUUAAUCCAGACAUGCCAUAUCUUGAAGAGAUACCUGAUCACCUGAUGUGAUAGUAUGUUUCAGGGACUCCAAGAAUGAUGGUGGCUCCUCACAUGUCUUCUUAAAAUCCACAGGUGACAACUGCAGUUAAAAAAUAUAAAUUAGGUUGUUGCUAAAAAAAAAAAAUGUAAGUAUAGUAGAUGGCAUUAGUACAAUACACACAAUUGAGUGCAAUUGUAAUUGUUGUGGCAUGCCAUAGAGAGUUUUCCACAGAGUUAAUAAACCUAGGCCUAGUCCUAACCGCCUAUGUAGAUACUGUAGAACAGGAAGACACGGGUCUCUAGCCCUGAAUAUGUAUUAAAACACAAACAUCUAGAGAUUUCAAGAUAAGUGCCUAUUCAUAAUAAGCAGUAGCAUACCAAAACACAUGUAGUCAUGUACUUACUGCUUCUGGCUGGGAAGGGGGUGGUAGAGUCCGUUUUUCUAGUUGCACCCAAUCAAUGGCAUUAAAAAAUGGGUGCUCCCGAAUAUUUCCAUUGCAGCCCAGUCGUUCUUUUGGAUUUUUCUUCAGGAGCUAAAGAAAGAAAACAUUAUCAGAUAUUUAUUGCUAAUAUGAAGCUACACACCUUCACUAAUACCCUCAUAGCACAGGGAUUUUGUCCAAUUGCCUAUAUACUAUUCAGCAAACAAGAAUAUCCAGUUAGUGUCACUGCUAGAUCUCUAGGAUCAGUAUCAUUUCUCUGGCAAAUUAUAUAAUAUAGCAGAACUAGUUAUACCCUCUCCAUAAAUUCCAAUACUUACCAUUCUCAGGAGAUCUUGCAAUUCGAAGCUGAACCUUAUCAGAAUGCAUGGCUGUCCAAGAAGAAUAGACAAACGGCAUUCUGUCCUGUUGCCGUACUCCAUGAAUGGAUUACGUACAAAAAAACAGUUGAUGCAGACGUAUAAAAUCACCCGGUUCUACUUACGUUCUGUUGAGGAGCUGCGUCGGGGUCUUUUUCCUCCUUGCGUUGUUUUUUGCUCCCUGUCUGAGCUGCACCCGUGUUUUUUCGCCUUUUUGCUCCUUUUUCUCCCACUUCUUUGCUCAGUGCUGCUCCUGUCGUCGAUUCGUCUCUUCAUCUUGACGGUACCAAUAAGAUCUCAAAUAUUGGACUAAAGUUGGAUUUUCUUCUUUCUUCAAAAGCAACCUCAACGAAAGUUUGUGAAUUUGCUUUCAGCUGCAAAAAUAAAAAUCGCUUUUCCGCA